RNAcentral lists this long non-coding RNA (603 nucleotides) under Homo sapiens (human). RNAcentral's name for it is "HSALNT0298367". The record is from RNAcentral. Lineage: Eukaryota; Metazoa; Chordata; Mammalia; Primates; Hominidae.
GGUGGGUCGAAGCGGGGAUCUGGCCGCCGCUUGGAAAGAGGCGUGCGGGUGAACCGAGCCCAAGUGCGCGGUGAGGGCGGCGGCCGAGGCCCCUGCCAGGCCCUCCGGGGCCGCCCCCAGAUCCCCCACGCCGGCGUGCAGAAUGUCUGCGAUGCAGAAGGAGGGCUUUUUGACGGCGGCGGGGUCCAAGGGGAAGGAGCAGCCGCCUGGGCCGGCCGAGGAGCAGUAAGCGGCCGACCAGAGGCUGAAGUUGGAGGCGUAGAAGGGAGCCAGCCCGGCUGCGAACAUCCUGCCGGGAGAAGUGGUUUCACCACAUUGCCCAGGCUGGUCUCAAAUUCCUGAGUUCAAGUGAUCUGCACACCUCAGCCCUGCAAAGUGCUGGGAAUACAGGCGUAAGCCACUGUGCCCAACUGAAACAUGUUUAAUAUAAUUAUUUGAUAAACUUGGUUGUAAUGUUAUUUUUAUUGUAUUCACUGUGUUAUUUUCACUGUGUUCACUGUGUUAUUUUCAAUAAAUUCCUCUUCUUAAUGCUUUCAACAUAAGUUCCAUUAUGAAAGCAGUUUGGUGUCUCUUUGUUUGUGGAGAUAGAGUCUCACUCCGUCG